UUACGAAAGUACUCGAGUUCGAUCAUGGUUCAGUGGUCCUACGAAGAGCUUGCUCGAAGAUGGUGAGAGUGGCGCACGGGUGCGUAACGCGUGAGCAACCUACCUCUAUCAGGGGGAUAGCCUCUCGAAAGAGAGAUUAACACCGCAUAACAUAACUUACCGGCAUGUUCGAUUGAUUAAAUAUUUAUAGGAUAGAGAUGGGCUCGCGUGACAUUAGCUAGUUGGUAGGGUAACGGCUUACCAAGGCGACGAUGUCUAGGGGCUCUGAGAGGAGAAUCCCCCACACUGGUACUGAGACACGGACCAGACUCCUACGGGAGGCAGCAGUAAGGAAUAUUGGUCAAUGGGCGGAAGCCUGAACCAGCCAUGCCGCGUGCAGGAUGACUGCCCUAUGGGUUGUAAACUGCUUUUGUCCAGGAAUAAACCUCUUUACGAGUAUAGAGCUGAAUGUACUGGAAGAAUAAGGAUCGGCUAACUCCGUGCCAGCAGCCGCGGUAAUACGGAGGAUCCGAGCGUUAUCCGGAUUUAUUGGGUUUAAAGGGUGCGUAGGCGGCCUAUUAAGUCAGGGGUGAAAUACGGUGGCUCAACCAUCGCAGUGCCUUUGAUACUGAUGGGCUUGAAUCCAUUUGAAGUGGGCGGAAUAAGACAAGUAGCGGUGAAAUGCAUAGAUAUGUCUUAGAACUCCGAUUGCGAAGGCAGCUCACUAAGCUGGUAUUGACGCUGAUGCACGAAAGCGUGGGGAUCGAACAGGAUUAGAUACCCUGGUAGUCCACGCCCUAAACGAUGAUAACUCGAUGUUGGCGAUAGACAGCCGGCGUCCAGCGGAAAGCGUUAAGUUAUCCACCUGGGGAGUACGCCCGCAAGGGUGAAACUCAAAGGAAUUGACGGGCGGCCCGCACAAGCGGAGGAGCAUGUGGUUUAAUUCGAUGAUACGCGAGGAACCUUACCCGGGCUUGAAAGUUAGUGAAGAGUGCAGAGACGCACUCGUCCUCUCUCGGGACCCGAAACUAGGUGCUGCAUGGCUGUCGUCAGCUCGUGCCGUGAGGUGUUGGGUUAAGUCCCGCAACGAGCGCAACCCCUAUGUUUAGUUGCCAGCAUGUAAUGGUGGGGACUCUAAACAGACUGCCUGUGCAAACAGAGAGGAAGGUGGGGACGACGUCAAGUCAUCAUGGCCCUUACGUCCGGGGCUACACACGUGCUACAAUGGAUGGUACAGCGGGCAGCUACAUAGCAAUAUGAUGCUAAUCUCUAAAAGCCAUUCACAGUUCGGAUUGGGGUCUGCAACUCGACCCCAUGAAGUUGGAUUCGCUAGUAAUCGCGUAUCAGCAAUGACGCGGGGAAUACGUCCCCGGGCCUUGGACACACCGUCCGUCAUUACAUGCAAGCUAGAUAGAGUCGUGCUCACUAAGUAGGACAACAAGGAGAGUAGCCCC
Molecule: ribosomal RNA, 1433 nt
Filed under: Sphingobacterium sp. Y15B
Lineage: Bacteria; Pseudomonadati; Bacteroidota; Sphingobacteriia; Sphingobacteriales; Sphingobacteriaceae
Description: bacterial SSU rRNA
Rfam family: Bacterial small subunit ribosomal RNA
Source: RNAcentral